AGGAUGUGCAUCACAAGUAGCAAUGGAAACAAGAACCAAAAACUUAUCUGUUUCCAAUAGCAAAUAUGAUGUGAAAAUUAGUGUAUGGAGCGUAAUGAGAAGAUGCAAGCUUAAAGCUAUAUUAGAUCUUCACUCGAUGCUCCAAAA
This 147-nucleotide small RNA is filed under the name Arabidopsis thaliana (thale cress). Its description in RNAcentral is "ATSL113540". The record is from RNAcentral. Lineage: Eukaryota; Viridiplantae; Streptophyta; Magnoliopsida; Brassicales; Brassicaceae.